Molecule: non-coding RNA, 4371 nt
Organism: Lolium perenne
Lineage: Eukaryota; Viridiplantae; Streptophyta; Magnoliopsida; Poales; Poaceae
Source: RefSeq, a predicted model, not a curated record
CCAUCCUCUCUAGUCUAGUCCCACAGCGAGGAAUAGCUAGUCGGUGGGGCGGCUCGCCGGCCACCUGCAGCAGACGUAGCCAGCCACCAGCCGCGGCCCUCGCGGAUGCAGGCGUCCACGUUGUAGCGCCGGUCGCCCAUCUUGGGCCCCGCAUCACCGCCGGCGAGCGCGUCCGAGUGCCCCGGGUGUCUGCAUCUCCCGCUGACCCUCCUCCUCCGCCCUUUUCUCCAUCUCGGAUGGAUUGCAGCAGCUGCAGGGGCAGCCUCCUCCGAUGGCAGAAGGGGAUGAGGGGGGCGACCUGGACAUCCUCGAGAUCGCCCAGCCCCAACUAGACGGAGGCGCCCUCCAUGACGCCGCCCCGCAAAAGAUUGAUCAGACAUAUUCUUGAGCACCUAUGCGAGAGAGAUUGAACAGGAGACGCUUUGCAUCUUGCCGUGAAGUGGCGACCACAGUGGCGCUCUUGUUGGCGCUGAAGUCGGACAGUGACCAACGUCACCGCAACGCCAUGUGCACUCCUUCUCGGUCCUCCCUGCCCUCGGACCAAGAGCUGAGAGGCAUUUGGUGCGUCGCCGCCCUGAUCUAGCUGAUGAACCAAGGUUGCUAGCUGCUGCUACUACUGCAUGUCUUCGUUUUGUUUGUUCUGUCAUAGUGAGACAGAGAGAGGAGAUGCGCGCCUCACUGGAAGGUGACAACCAUGUACAACACAACUCUUGCCAACGAACAGCGACACCUCCACGCUAUGUUCCCUGUUGCCCUACUCGGCCCUCCCCGCCGCUUGGAUAGAGAGGUUGAUGGCCCGCACCUCCAUCAGCAACUCCUAUGUUUGUUCACUGUUCGUGCCACCUGGAGCAAGGAGUGGGCUGGAGUAGGGUAUGGACGUGGAUGAUGAUCCAGAAGGGGUGGAGGAGAAUGAGCUAGACAAUCUCGAUGAGGAAUUCAUCCAUCCCCAUCUCGAGCUCGAGGGAGAUGUUGAUGAUUGCAUGCAAAAGGAUUUAUCAAACGGGGACAUUCUAUUGUGGAAGGGCCAGUAUGAACACCGGUUGCUAGAAUGCUGCCUCUACUACGAGCUACAAGGCCAGAGAUAGUACCAGCGGGGCCUGCGACCUCCGGGAGCUUCUCUUCAUGUUCUCCGUGAGUGCUAUCUGUUGUUGUGAUUAAGCUCUGAAGGCCCCAAGUUUGCGCUUGUCUGAUGCGAUGAAAUCAUGUGCGAUAUGCUCUCCUUGUAUCUGAGAUUCUCCUACUUUAAUUUAUCACGGCUGCUAGCUACUGAUGCAAAGAGCAAAGCUUGAUAAUGUAGAGAGUUUUGCACCUACAUGCUUGCUCCUGGCUGAACAUCGAUGCCCAGUCUUGUCAUCGAUUGGAGUAGCAGGGCUCGUUGGAGCUAUGGGAUUCAGAAGGAAUGCCAUCUUGAUCAUCUUGUGGGAGAGAUAUUGAGCUGGAGACGAGCCCUGCAGCUUGCCAGCAGUGGCGACCGCAUCGGUGCUCUUGCCUGGCAUCGACGCCGAAUGGCGACCAGCACCGCCACCCUCCUGCCUGAGCCUCCCUGUUGCCCAGACCAAGGGCUGAGAGGCGUGCGACGGACCCGACGCUGCUAUUGUCUUCCUUCAGUCGAUAGUAACUGGCUUUGCAUGCUCAUCUAUGUAGAUAGUAGGCGAUAAGAUCGGAGCUUGGGUACAUGUGUUUGAGGCUCUUCCUCGGUAGUUCGACUUGGCCAACGCGACGGGGUCGACUAGGAAAGAGUUCCAGGGCGGCACCCCUCGUCUUGCCUUCCUCUUUGAGCUUCCCUCUGACUAGCAGGACCUCACUUUCUCCCAGUGGCAAGUAGAACUCGUGGCAUGUCCGGUGCUGCCAGAUAAACUUUCUUUUCUUGUGACUAUUACUAUUGAUUGAUGUGCUGUUUUUCGCUGUGAGCUCAAGAAUUUAUUCCAGGGGGGACUGAUGAGGAUGAGCCUGCUUAGCAUACCGUGCGCACCCUUGGUUGCUCUGUGGGACACAUGUUUCUGCCCUUUCUGAUGUCGGCGGAGAGGCCACUGCCAACAUCUUGUUGCUCGGUUGUGGAUGAGCUCGAGCGCAAAUUAAAUGGCAUCAAAAUUGGUGGAGUGAGUGAAGCAGCAGAUAGCCAAAAGAAGAUGAGGUGCAGUAUAGGUAGUACAGGACCAAGUUUUAUACUGAAAUUCUAUUGUUGGCAAAAAAGUUGAUCUGAUGGUAUACUCGGUAUUGUUGAAUGCUUUAGUGCUGAUAUUUACUGGUUAGCGUGUGCAUGGACUAAAGAAAGUGUCUUGCCAUUCAUUUGAUUUGAUUCAAACAACAAUAUGCAUUCUCCCCAAGUUCCGUUGGAAGAACAUGUUCGAGCCAUCAUCUGAUGCCAGUAGUGUGUCCAUGUUUUUCUUGAGGGACAAGUGAAUGAGCUGUGUAAGCAUGUGCAUGUCUAUGUACACAGAGUCAGCAUGGAGAUUAAUUGUAUUGACUGAAAGCGAAGCAUGUGCUUGUGAUUUAUAAUUGUUAAAUCAAAUUGUGAAAUAGGUUCAUCUUUAUAUUCCUGUUGAUGCAAGAGUUUGUGCUUAAUAUGUUAGACUGAUAGGAUUUUUAGCAUCGUCCAUAAAUAAAUUUUGUUGGUCCAGCAUGACUAUAUAUGUCUAGUGAGAUUUCUAUUCAAGAAUUAUCAAUGGUAUGUCCGUCUGGGUGAUGCUUCUCUGGUAAGUAUAUAUAUAUAUGCAUAUAUUAGCGAAGCUUGUGCAUGUUUCUUAUUCAUUUUACAAUGGUGGUUUCAAAUAUCUGAAUACAUUCGUCUUUACAUUCUUGUUGAUGAAAGAUGUACUAAGUCUGGUAGACUGAUAUGCCAUUCAUAUGUGCAAUUGUUGGCUUUUGAGGAUUUUUCACAUAUGCUCAUUAGUUUUCUUCUUCAGCCAGAGUGUUUUUCAAACUCGAUACUCAUGGAGGUGUAGCUUCUUACUGAUUCACCAACUAUGAAAUGCAAGCCUGAUGGUGGUGGGCGCACAGCAACACAACCAUGGUGGCGGUGGUGUUCUUCUGCUACAACCGAACAGUACAUGCUCCUUCCAUCUUGCAACCCCCUCCGUGGUGCUCUGAAUCAUGGCCCUCAUGGCCUGGUGGUGUGUGUGAGUUCGUGUGCGUCUUGUGUUGAUGUUGAUGAGGACAACAUGUUUGAAUACCCCUUGAACAUGAGGUCUGGGUCUUGAGUUGGUCCGCAAAAGCACUCCAUAGGCCAUCAUUAUGUUCGUGUCGAGGAAUAUGUAGCAGUUUCCACUCAGAAGACUCCAUGUGCACAACAAGAUGCUUUACUUCUGCUAGGAACGCCAAGGGGAACAAUGGUUCUAAACCUAGUACAAACACUACCGUGAAGGUAAAGAAGAAAAGAGCUAAGACCUGAAGUAACUAGUUUGUUCUUGUGCUCGUCCUUGCUAGCUCACUACAUCGACCAGGCCUGUUGCUGCUCUGACCUGUAGGAGAACUAAUGCUCCAACUACGUCCCCGUGUCCAAAAGUCACAUUGUUGUUCCAGUGGUGGUGUGGUGGCGUUGGUGCCCUCCGAUGGUGUUCUGGUGGUGGUGCCCUCUGUGUGUUCCGGUGGUGGUGCCCUAUGGUGGUUGUCCACCAGAGCUGCUAGCGGCAACCACGUGAGCUCCUACUAGUGCUGCUGGCGUCCAGUACAACCUGCUGCCCUUGCCUUCUUCGACCUGGAGCUGACGUCCCCGUGCCCGAAAGUCAAGUUGUUGUUUUGGUGGUGGUGUGGUGGCGCUGGCGCCCUCCGUUGGUGUUCUGGUGGCGGUGCCCUCCGUUGGUAUUCUGGUGGUGGUGUCCUCUGGUGGUGUUGUUCACCGGAGCUGCUGCCGGCAACCACGGGAACUCCUGCUGCCGCUGGUGCUGCUGGCAGUCUAGUACGACCUGCUGCCCCUGCCUUCUUCGACCUGGACGUCUCCUACAUCACAAUGUCCCCCCUCUGAAGCCCUAGUGGUGGAAGUUCAUCCAGGCGGCAACAUUUCAUAAAGAAGGUUCUUGUAAAGAAGUAUUCAUUGGAGCACUACACGGCCCGUCCUCGUGUGGCUCCGCAGACAUGGUCUAUUGCCAACUGGCUCGGGCGGUGCGGCUUGCCUCCGGUCCGUUAUGCCUUGACCCGGCGGCGUAUGCAGUACUGUUCCAUUUGUUGUAAUACUAAGUAGUCGAAUUGUGUCUUCCAAAUCAGUAGGUGUAGUUCUUUACCUGUGUAUUUCUUUAUUCUCUACUUGCACUUGUCAUCUUUACUACAUUCAUAUACUCCAUGUAUCCUUAAAUACCUAUGCGUUAUGCAUAGUACUAGUAGUUCAUUGUUUGCGAAGUGAUGUGGAUGUCCAAAAUAGAGUUAAGGUCAAUU